GAUGAACGCUAGCGGCAGGCCUAACACAUGCAAGUCGAGGGGUAGUUACUUUCGGGUAAUGAGACCGGCGCACGGGUGCGUAACGCGUAUGCAAUCUACCUUUUACAGGGGAAUAGCCCAGAGAAAUUUGGAUUAAUGCCCCAUAGUAUGUAUGAAUCGCAUGGUUUAUACAUUAAAGUUCCAACGGUAAAAGAUGAGCAUGCGUCCCAUUAGUUAGUUGGUAAGGUAACGGCUUACCAAGACGAUGAUGGGUAGGGGUCCUGAGAGGGAGAUCCCCCACACUGGUACUGAGACACGGACCAGACUCCUACGGGAGGCAGCAGUGAGGAAUAUUGGACAAUGGGCGCAAGCCUGAUCCAGCCAUGCCGCGUGCAGGAAGAAGCAUCUAUGGGUGUGUAAACUGCUUUUUGUACAGGAAGAAACACUCCCUCGUGAGGGAGCUUGACGGUACUGUAAGAAUAAGGAUCGGCUAACUCCGUGCCAGCAGCCG
This 490-nucleotide ribosomal RNA is filed under the name uncultured bacterium. Its description in RNAcentral is "bacterial SSU rRNA". It matches the Rfam family "Bacterial small subunit ribosomal RNA", at positions 28 to 517 of the family's 1533-position model. The record is from RNAcentral.